RNAcentral lists this ribosomal RNA (198 nucleotides) under uncultured bacterium. Its description in RNAcentral is "partial 16S ribosomal RNA". It matches the Rfam family "Bacterial small subunit ribosomal RNA", at positions 329 to 539 of the family's 1533-position model. The record is from RNAcentral.
ACGUCGACACCUACUGGAGGCAGCAGUUGGGAAUAUUGGACAAUGGAGGAAACUCUGAUCCAGUGACGCCGCGUGAAGGAAGAAGGUCUUCGGAUUGUAAACUUAUUUUGUCAGGGAAGAAAAAUGACUGUACCUGAAGAAAAAGCACCGGCUAACUACGUGCCAGCAGCCGCGGUAAUCUGAGCGGGCUGGCAAGGC